AUUGAACGCUGGCGGCAGGCUUAACACAUGCAAGUCGAGCGGAGUGAUGGUGCUUGCACUAUCACUUAGCGGCGGACGGGGGUGUAAUGCUUAGGAAGCUGCCUAUUAGUGGGGGACAACAUCUCGAAAGGGCUGCUAAUAUCGCAUACGUCCUACGUGAGAAAGCAGGGCAUCACUUGUGACCUUGCGGUAAUAGAUGAGACUAAGUCGGAUUAGCUAGUUGGUGGGGUAAAGGCCUACCAAGGCGACGAUCUGUAGCGGGUCGGAGAGGAUGAUCCGCCACACUGGGACUGAGACACGGCCCAGACUCCUACGGGAGGCAGCAGUGGGGAAUAUUGGACAAGUGGGGGAACCCUGAUCCAGCCAUGCCGCGUGUGUGAAGAAGGCCUUAUGGUUGUAAAGCACUUUAAGCGAGGAGGAGGCUCUUUUGGUUAAUACCCAAGAUGAUUGGACGUUACUCGCAGAAUAAGCACCGGCUAACUCUGUGCCAGCAGCCGCAGUAA
RNAcentral lists this ribosomal RNA (503 nucleotides) under uncultured bacterium. RNAcentral's name for it is "partial 16S ribosomal RNA". It matches the Rfam family "Bacterial small subunit ribosomal RNA", at positions 30 to 523 of the family's 1533-position model. The record is from RNAcentral.